This 66-nucleotide small RNA is filed under the name Salix viminalis (osier). Lineage: Eukaryota; Viridiplantae; Streptophyta; Magnoliopsida; Malpighiales; Salicaceae. The record is from RNAcentral.
GAAGCAAUGCUGAAAUGAAGCUGAAAAGGUGUAAAAGCAGGCUGCAUAGACAGGCAGCAAGGCUUC